Molecule: long non-coding RNA, 204 nt
Filed under: Mytilus galloprovincialis (Mediterranean mussel)
Lineage: Eukaryota; Metazoa; Mollusca; Bivalvia; Mytilida; Mytilidae
Source: RNAcentral
AGAAAAUAAACAAAAUGACAAUAAUACAUAAAUAACAACAGACUACUAGCAGUUAACUGACAUGCCAGCUCCAGACUUCAAUUAAACUGACUGAAAGAUUAUGAUUUCAUCAUAUGAACAUCAGGCACAAUCCAUCCCGUUAAGGGUUUAGUAUCAUACCAUCAUAACAUAUAUGAGAAGAACAUAACCCGUGUCAUGCCAACA